GGUCUGAUUAUGGCUCAGAUUGAACGCUGGCGUGGAUGCUUGCUACAUGUGCAAGUCGAAUCAAGCAGCACGGACUUCGGUCUGGUGGCGAGUGGCGAACGGGUGAGUAAUGUAUCGGAACGUGCCUAGUAGCGGGGGAUAACUACGCGAAAAGCGUAGCUAAUACCGCAUACUGCCCUUCGGGGAAAGCGGGGACCUCGGGCCUCGCACCUUAUUAGGAGCGGCCGAUAUCGGAUUGAGCUAGUUGCGGGGUAACGGCUCACCAAGGCGACGAUCCGUAGCUGGCUCGAGUAGUGGACGACUCAGCCACAUUGGGACUGAGACACGGCCCAGACUAAUGGGAGGCAGCAGUGGGGAAUUUUGGACAAUGGGGGAAACCCUGAUCCAGCCAUCCUGCGUGUGCGAUGAAGGCCUUCGGGUUGUAAAGCACUUUGGCAGGAAAGAAACGAUGGCACGGGAUAAUACCCUGUGCAACUGACGGUACCUGCAGAAUAAGCACUGGCUAACUACGCGCCAGCAGCCGCGGCAAUACGUAGGGUGCAAGCGUUAAUCGGAAUUACAUUGGGCGUAGCGUGCGCAGGCGGUUCGAAAGAAAGACGUGAAAUCCCAGAGCUUAACUUUGGAACGGCAUUUUUAACUACCGAGCUAGGAGUGUGUCAGAGGGGAGUGUGGAAUUCCGCGUGUAGCAGGAAAUGCGUAGAUAUGGUGGAGGAACACUGAUGGCGAAGGCAGCCUCCCGGGAUAACACUGACGCUCAUGCACGAAAGCGUGGGGAGCAAAUGAUUAGGAUACCCGGUAGUCCACGCCUCUAAACGAUGUCAACUAGCUGUUGGGGCUUUCGGGUUCUUGGUAGCGCAGCUUAACGGGUGUGAAGUGACCGCCCGGGGAGUACGGUCGCAAGAUUAAAACUCAGUUGAAAUUGACGGGGACCCGCAUACGCUGCGGAUGAUGUGGAUUAAUUCGAUGCAACGCGAAAAACCUUACUCUACCCUUGACAUGUUCGGAAUCCCGAAGAGAUUUGGGAGUGCUCGCAAGAGAACCGGAACACAGGUGCUGUAUGGUUUGUCGUCAGCUCGUGUCGUGAGAUGCUGGGUUAAGUCCUGCAACGAGCGCAACCCUUGUCAUUAGUUGCUACGAAAGUUAAAACGAUGAUCGCCGGUGACAAAACUGGAGGAAGGUGGGACAGACGUCAAGUCCCUCAUGUUCUGGCGGUAGGGCUUCACACGUCAUACAAUGGUCGGGACAGAGGGUCGCUAACCCGCGAGGGGGAGCUAACUCUGGUGAAACCCGAUCGUAGUCCGGAUCGCAGUCUGCAACUCGACUGCGUGAAGCCGGAAUCGCUAGUAAUCGCGGAUCAGUAUGUCGCGGUGAAUACGUUCCUGGGUCUUGUACACCGCCCGUCACACCAUGGAGUGGGUUUUACCAGAAGUAGUUAGCCUAACCGUAAGGAGGGUGAUUACCACUUGUAGGGAUUCAUGAUCAGGGUGAAGUCGUAACAAGGUAG
Molecule: ribosomal RNA, 1504 nt
Filed under: uncultured Bordetella sp.
Lineage: Bacteria; Pseudomonadati; Pseudomonadota; Betaproteobacteria; Burkholderiales; Alcaligenaceae
Description: partial 16S-23S ribosomal RNA intergenic spacer
Rfam family: Bacterial small subunit ribosomal RNA
Source: RNAcentral